RNAcentral lists this ribosomal RNA (253 nucleotides) under uncultured bacterium. Its description in RNAcentral is "partial 16S ribosomal RNA". It matches the Rfam family "Bacterial small subunit ribosomal RNA", at positions 524 to 776 of the family's 1533-position model. The record is from RNAcentral.
UACGUAGGGUGCAAGCGUUGUCCGGAAUUAUUGGGCGUAAAGAGCUCGUAGGCGGUUUGUCGCGUCUGGUGUGAAAAUCCAGGGCUUAACCCUGGACCUGCAUCGGGUACGGGCAGACUAGAGUGCGGUAGGGGAGGUCGGAGUUCCUGGUGUAGCGGUGAAAUGCGCAGAUAUCAGGAGGAACACCGGUGGCGAAGGCGGAUCUCUGGGCCGUAACUGACGCUGAGGAGCGAAAGCAUGGGGAGCGAACAGG